AGCAUAGAGGACACACCUGUAUCCAUGCCGAACACAGUCGUUAAGCUCUAUUACGCCGAAGAUAGUUGGGAGAGUCUUCCUGCGAGAAUAGGUCGUUGCCAUGC
RNAcentral lists this ribosomal RNA (104 nucleotides) under Lactobacillales bacterium. The record is from RNAcentral. Lineage: Bacteria; Bacillati; Bacillota; Bacilli; Lactobacillales.